GAUGAAGAACGUAGCGAAAUGCGAUAAGUAAUGUGAAUUGCAGAAUUCAGUGAAUCAUCGAAUCUUUGAACGCACCUUGCGCCUUUUGGUAUUCCGAAAGGCACACCUGUUUGAGCGUCAUGAAUACCUCAAUCUCCAUCUUUUCUUCGGAUUGAUGGGUGACUUGGAUGUUGAGCCCUGCUGGUAUGCUAUAUCAGCUGGCUUUAAACUUAUUAGCCGGCUCUGUACUGGAUCGGUUUGACUCGACGUGAUAAUAUUAUCGUUGAGGAUGCAUGUCUCAUGCAGCCGGAAAGUAUCAAAGCUGCUUCUAGCUUGCCUUUAGUGCACUUUUACAUUUUAGACCUCAGAUCAGGUGGGACUACCCGCUGAACUUAAGCAUAUCAAUAAGCGGAGGA
This 395-nucleotide unclassified non-coding RNA is filed under the name soil metagenome. RNAcentral describes it as "partial contains 5.8S ribosomal RNA, internal transcribed spacer 2, and large subunit ribosomal RNA". The stretch from base 1 to 120 matches the Rfam family "5.8S ribosomal RNA", at positions 35 to 154 of the family's 154-position model. The record is from RNAcentral.